Molecule: transfer RNA, 97 nt
Filed under: Streptomyces albidoflavus
Lineage: Bacteria; Bacillati; Actinomycetota; Actinomycetes; Kitasatosporales; Streptomycetaceae
Also listed under: 1 other name
Description: tRNA-Tyr
Source: RNAcentral
GGCGGUGCGGCUUAAACGCGCAGAUGAAGGGGCCUCGGUCGCGCAGACUGUAAAUCUGCCGGCUCAGCCUUCCCAGGUUCGAAUCCUGGCGCCGCCA